GGUUUCAAGUGAGGAUUCCCCAGAAAGCUUGGCUCUGUCUCACACAAUCACCAUCAGAGUCCUCCCAUUGUCUCCAGGGGUCCCACAGCCUUCUCAAGACUGCAGCAUGCUGAUCACAGCCCUUAGUGACAGUGUCACAGAGAUCCUGCCCUCUGCACUCUUCUUCAUAAACUCAGAUGUUCCCUUUGAAAAACUGAUCUACAGCAUCACCAAGCCUCUAGCACAAGAACAAGGUACCAUUGAACAUAAAGAUAAACCCUAUAUCCCCGUGUACACUUUCAC
Long non-coding RNA from Scleropages formosus (Asian bonytongue), 282 nucleotides. RefSeq lists it as uncharacterized. NCBI's taxonomy places the organism in Eukaryota, Metazoa, Chordata, Actinopteri, Osteoglossiformes, Osteoglossidae. The record is from RefSeq and is a predicted model, not a curated record. The transcript is spliced from 3 exons.